Molecule: unclassified non-coding RNA, 418 nt
Filed under: Hevea brasiliensis (rubber tree)
Lineage: Eukaryota; Viridiplantae; Streptophyta; Magnoliopsida; Malpighiales; Euphorbiaceae
Source: RNAcentral
GUUUAAAAAAAAAAAAUUUUAAAUGAUGAGAGAUGCAUGUGAGGGAAUGGCACUGUGAUAGCAGACAGCAGUGAGAAUGCAAGGUGCAUUGCCUCUCUACUUUGUAAAAUGCCCCGCUUGCAGACCCUCAACAGUCAACACCUCACUCUGUACUCUCUACUCAACAUCAACAAUUAGGUUAUAAUAUAAGACCUAGGCGGGACCUAGUGGAGUCUGGACUUAAAUAGUUUUGUUCAGAUUCAGUUCAGCCCAUUUAAAAUAACUAAUGAUUUGUUGGCCCAGUGGUUAGUGAUGAGGUUGGUUGGGAGAGACCCAGGCUCAAGUCUGAGAGUUGUAAAUGUAUUGUUUGACUCUUGUAAAUGUAUUGUUUGACUCGGAGUCUAAUUGUUGUAAAUAAAAUUAAUUAUUUGAUUUUUUU